CACCUGACAGUGUGUUAAAGUUAAAUUCUGUUAGUGCUGCACUAAAAGAAUUGUUAGUAAUAAGUCCAUGCAGCGAAGGAAGUGAACAAUUGUGGGACCGUAUAUGGGCUGAAAAUGAGUGUGGUACGGAAACCCAGAAAUAGCAUGAGUUCAACAUACAACAUGAAUUAGAAUUUUAGUGGGGGAUCAAGUCAAGUCUCGAAGUGUUACAGGAUGGAAGAGUGAGCCUACAGUUGAAAAACACUGAAAGUGCAUUACCAUUAAGGUAUGAGGUAAAGUAAUAGAGUAUGCAAAUUGUCUAAUGAGAAGUACCAUCUUGUGUGAAUGAAUCCUGUGUAACAACAAUCCUUUAUAGUUCUGUCAUAGCUAGAAGCCUCAAAUAAUUCUGCUUCUCUUGCUAAAGAACAACUUGUCCUUUACGUUCAGAGUGUUGGUGAAGCUGGAUACUUAAAUGGCCCUAAAGAUGUUUCGUUUCGUUGGCGUUGCAGCGAUGAACAUCAUACAUGGACUUUUUAGGAAAGGAUUUUCAGCAUACUGGGAACACAACUAUCAACAAUGCAACAUUCUAGGGGUGCUAUUUUAUCAUUCAAGAGCCUUAUACAAUGAUUUUCAUCUGCAAUUUGUAUGGCCUUUCCCAAGCUUCUGCCAGAAGUUGAAUCUAUAAGUCAUGUAAGUCACAUGAGCAACAAUUGAGAUGCUUAAUGGUGUUGUUUUUCUUUUCUCAGCAUAGGUUAAUAGUAACAUUGGAUCUGAAAAGAUUCUUGGUUGGGGCAAGACACUGAAUAAAUUGUAUUGAUUCGAUGGAUGACAUGACAUUUCUAUACUUAAUUCGGAUUCCCCAGACGGUAUUUGAUAUUUAAAAAAUUGAAGUGCAUAUCUG
This is a long non-coding RNA of Daphnia carinata, 880 nucleotides long. RefSeq lists it as uncharacterized. The record is from RefSeq and is a predicted model, not a curated record. The transcript is spliced from 3 exons. Lineage: Eukaryota; Metazoa; Arthropoda; Branchiopoda; Diplostraca; Daphniidae.